AUGAACGCUGGCGGCGUGUCUCAUACAUGCAAGUCGAGCGAACAGACGAGGAGCUUGCUCCUCUGACGUUAGCGGCGGACGGGUGAGUAACACGUGGAUAACCUACCUAUAAGACUGGGAUAACUUCGGGAAACCGGAGCUAAUACCGGAUAAUAUAUUGAACCGCAUGGUUCAAUAGUGAAAGACGGUUUUGCUGUCACUUAUAGAUGGAUCCGCGCCGCAUUAGCUAGUUGGUAAGGUAACGGCUUACCAAGGCAACGAUGCGUAGCCGACCUGAGAGGGUGAUCGGCCACACUGGAACUGAGACACGGUCCAGACUCCUACGGGAGGCAGCAGUAGGGAAUCUUCCGCAAUGGGCGAAAGCUUGACGGAGCAACGCCGCGUGAGUGAUGAAGGUCUUCGGAUCGUAAAACUCUGUUAUUAGGGAAGAACAAAUGUGUAAGUAACUAUGCACGUCUUGACGGUACCUAAUCAGAAAGCCACGGCUAACUACGUG
RNAcentral lists this ribosomal RNA (496 nucleotides) under uncultured bacterium. Its description in RNAcentral is "partial 16S ribosomal RNA". It matches the Rfam family "Bacterial small subunit ribosomal RNA", at positions 29 to 507 of the family's 1533-position model. The record is from RNAcentral.